Long non-coding RNA from Stylophora pistillata, 435 nucleotides. RefSeq lists it as uncharacterized. The record is from RefSeq and is a predicted model, not a curated record. NCBI's taxonomy places the organism in Eukaryota, Metazoa, Cnidaria, Anthozoa, Scleractinia, Pocilloporidae.
UGUUAUCGACACACGGAAGAUAAACCAAUGCCGUAUCAUCGAGUCUCCUGCCAUUUACCCGUCACAGAAGAAAAAAAGCAGUGGGUAAAACGUCGACCCUCGGCACAUUGAAAUUGUAGAACACUUGAAAAAAAUAUAUUUCCCUGUUUUUUUCGGAUGUAAUUUCCUUCUUGUUGAACUGAAAGGCUACUUAGGAUGACUCAAGUGGCAAAGGCAUCUACAAGCCUAAGACAUCAAGUAGCUUAAUCUAAACAAGAAGAGAUCUUGGUGAAUUUGGAACUGCUACGUGGAUUUUAGAACUGCUGCGGUGAAGAAGAAAGUUUCAGCUCUUGAGGACAUUUUCAUUCCUGUGGCAAGACAGCGUCAUGAUGUGGCGGUUUAGUUUGACAAAACAAUUUUAAUAAAUAAAGUUCACGAAGUUGAUUUUCACAUUGA